Molecule: non-coding RNA, 22 nt
Filed under: Arabidopsis thaliana (thale cress)
Lineage: Eukaryota; Viridiplantae; Streptophyta; Magnoliopsida; Brassicales; Brassicaceae
Source: RNAcentral
ACGCCUUAGGCGUUGCUCGUGG